RNAcentral lists this transfer RNA (68 nucleotides) under Gammarus crinicornis. RNAcentral describes it as "tRNA-Val". Lineage: Eukaryota; Metazoa; Arthropoda; Malacostraca; Amphipoda; Gammaridae. The record is from RNAcentral.
GGUGAUAAGUUUUUCGCUUACAAUGAAGAAAUCCCUUUAGGGCACCUCUAUAGGUUUAAAAUUAAAUC